GACGAACGCUGGCGGCGUGCCUAAUACAUGCAAGUAGAACGCUGAAGGAGGAGCUUGCUUCUCCGGAUGAGUUGCGAACGGGUGAGUAACGCGUAGGUAACCUGCCUGGUAGCGGGGGAUAACUAUUGGAAACGAUAGCUAAUACCGCAUAAGAGUAGAUGUCGCAUGACAUUUGCUUAAAAGGUGCAACUGCACCACUACCAGAUGGACCUGCGUUGUAUUAGCUAGUUGGUGAGGUAACGGCUCACCAAGGCAACGAUACAUAUCCGACCUGGGAGGGUGAUCGGCCACACUGGGACGUAGACACGGCCCAGACUCCUACGGGAGGCAGCAGGAGGGGAUCUUCGGCAAUGGACGGAAGUCUGACCGAGCAACGCCGCGGGAGUGAAGAAGGGUUUCGGAUCGUAAAGCUCUGUUGUAAGAGAAGAACGAGUGUGGGAGUGGAAAGUGCACACUGUGACGGUAUCUUACCAGAAAGGGACGGCUAACUACGUG
This 495-nucleotide ribosomal RNA is filed under the name uncultured bacterium. Its description in RNAcentral is "partial 16S ribosomal RNA". It matches the Rfam family "Bacterial small subunit ribosomal RNA", at positions 28 to 507 of the family's 1533-position model. The record is from RNAcentral.